Molecule: unclassified non-coding RNA, 962 nt
Filed under: Hevea brasiliensis (rubber tree)
Lineage: Eukaryota; Viridiplantae; Streptophyta; Magnoliopsida; Malpighiales; Euphorbiaceae
Source: RNAcentral
AAAAACGAAACUUUGAUGCUUUUGAUUUUUUAAUUUACAUGUACAAAUAUGUUACACAACAAGCUUACACAGGGUUAUGGGUGGGGCUGGAUAAAAGAUGGGAGGCACGAAACAGUAAAACUACCCAGCACAAAGGCCUCAGGAAGAGAGAGGGAAGCGUGAGGGAGUUUAACCCAAGCCAUCGGGAGUGAUGACAGGACUUGGCAAACACACCUUUGCAGUCCAUGGAUGCAACUUGGUCAUGCAUCAGGGAAUGAAAUGGACAACACAUUCAAUGUCUUCACUUCCGCUGCUUCUUUGAGAGAGGCUCUGGUUGCGUCUCAGCAGCAUUUGAAAGCUGCUCACGAAUGUAGGCCAUUGAUCUUAGCAUGGCACCUAAAGUAUCCCGAGAAACCUGAAAUUUAACCUCCGAUUCUCCUGAAGUUGUUUCGGUAUCUUGAAGCUUUAAGUUAAUGACAGCAACCCUGUUAGCUGGUGUAGAUAGCUGUUCACUAAUAUAUGCCAUAGAUCUCAACAUGGGCUCCAAUGUAACUCUUGACAGUUGAAACUUAACCUCUAAUUCUGCCGAAGGAGUCUUGCUAUAAUCUUGCAACUUCAAGUUGAUGACAGCAACUCUGUUUCCUGGUGUUGAAUUCUUAUUCUCCAUCACCCAAGUCAUUGAUUUAAGACAAGGAAGAACUGCCAUAUUUCCAGGACCAUCAUCCCUUUGAAGGGAGACAGGAGCCAUGCGGGGAAGAUUCAGAUCAGCAACAGAUUGAGCCGAAGCACCAGCAUCAUUGAGAUUAAAUCGACGUGUAACUUCAUCUUGCCUUGGCCACAGCAAUGGCAUUGUAUCCGAUGCUGAUGUUGAGGUCUUCCUGUCAUCAUAACCAAUCCCACCAACCAGUGAGCUAGGUGGUCGAAUUUUAGCAGCAUUUUUCUUCAGAGCAGCAAUCUUCUUCCCACCUUCUCUAAGAGCACCA